UGACUGUAUAGCACGAAAGUUGGCGUUGGCGGGCGGCUCAACAAUCGAUCGUGGUGUUAUUUUGUAGUUUUGAGAUGGACAUCCUUUAAGAUGUGAGCGGGAUGCAGGACACCAGAGCGGUGAAUUAUGCCGUUGCCAUGAGAGUGGACUGAUCGAGGCACUUUUUAAGGUGGCCACAGAGAUGGAGAGUCCUUCUAAGAUUGAGAGGCGCCAGGCGUGGGCAAGCAGCCGCCGCAAGUUUACCGUAAAAGAUGCAGAACACCGCAGCCCAACAGCAGAACAUCAGUCUCAUUUCUCUCUCCAAGAUGAUGUCUUUGUGGAUGGAUGCUCUGCUGGAAAGAUUGAAACCUGGCUUCAAGGUUGUGGGUGAGUGUUUGUGUGAAUGCUUUCUAUAAAAGACAGGCAUUGUGUGUCAGUUGUAAUACAAUGACGGCAAGUGAGUGGAAAACCACAAAUG
Molecule: long non-coding RNA, 457 nt
Filed under: Sinocyclocheilus grahami
Lineage: Eukaryota; Metazoa; Chordata; Actinopteri; Cypriniformes; Cyprinidae
Description: lncRNA (ENSSGRG00000038864.1)
Source: RNAcentral